Molecule: ribosomal RNA, 305 nt
Filed under: uncultured bacterium
Lineage: Bacteria
Description: bacterial SSU rRNA
Rfam family: Bacterial small subunit ribosomal RNA
Source: RNAcentral
GCCUACGGGGGGCAGCAGUGGGGAAUAUUGCGCAAUGGGCGAAAGCCUGACGCAGCGACGCCGCGUGAGGGAUGAAGGUCUUCGGAUCGUAAACCUCUGUCCGCAGGGAAGAACGGUCACUGUGCUAAUCAGCAGUGAAUUGACGGUACCUGCAAAGGAAGCACCGGCUAACUCCGUGCCAGCAGCCGCGGUAAUACGGAGGGUGCGAGCGUUAAUCGGAAUUACUGGGCGUAAAGCGCUCGUAGGCGGUAUGUCACGUCACGGGUGAAAUCCCCGCGCUUACCGUGGUACCUGCCUUUGAAACU